UACGUAGGGCGCGAGCGUUGUCCGGAAUUAUUGGGCGUAAAGAGCUCGUAGGCGGCUUGUUGCGUCUGCUGUGAAAUCCCGGGGCUUAACCCCGGGCGUGCAGUGGAUACGGGCAGGCUGGAGGCAGGCAGGGGAGAAUGGAAUUCCCGGUGUAGCGGUGAAAUGCGCAGAUAUCGGGAGGAACACCGGUGGCGAAGGCGGUUCUCCGGGCCUGUUCUGACGCUGAGGAGCGAAAGCGUGGGGAGCGAACAGG
RNAcentral lists this ribosomal RNA (253 nucleotides) under uncultured bacterium. RNAcentral's name for it is "partial 16S ribosomal RNA". It matches the Rfam family "Bacterial small subunit ribosomal RNA", at positions 524 to 776 of the family's 1533-position model. The record is from RNAcentral.